Perognathus longimembris pacificus (Pacific pocket mouse) is the source of this 131-nucleotide small nucleolar RNA. RefSeq annotates it as U8 small nucleolar RNA. The transcript has a single exon. Lineage: Eukaryota; Metazoa; Chordata; Mammalia; Rodentia; Heteromyidae. The record is from RefSeq and is a predicted model, not a curated record.
UCGUCAGGAUAAUCCUUACCUGUUCUUUCUUCGGAAGGGCAGAUAGAACAUGAUGAUUGGAGAUCUCAUGACUUGUGAUUAAGGUCUCCACGUGGCCUGGGACUUUGAACACCCUGUUGCUCCUAUCUGAU